Molecule: ribosomal RNA, 785 nt
Filed under: uncultured bacterium
Lineage: Bacteria
Description: bacterial SSU rRNA
Rfam family: Bacterial small subunit ribosomal RNA
Source: RNAcentral
GGCCCAACCCCGUGAUGCGCCGGGAACUGCAGGGCUUGAGUACAGGAGGGGGCAUCGGAAUUCCUGGAGGAAGGGUGAAAUCUGUAGAUUUCAGGAAGAACACCGGUGGCGAAGGCGGAUGCCUGGCCAUGUACUGACGCUGAGGCGCGAAGGUGCGGGGAGCAAACAGGUUUAGAUACCCUGGUAGUCCGCACAGUAAACGAUGUGCACUGGCCGUCGGGAGCGAUCCCGGUGGCGAAGCAAACGCGUUAAGUGCACCGCCUGGGGAGUAUGCUCGCAAGGGUGAAACUCAAAGGAAUUGACGGGGGCCCGCACAAGCGGUGGAGCAUGUGGUUUAAUUCGAUGAUACGCGAGGAACCUUACCAGGGCUUGACAUAUGCCUGGAUCGCGGUGAAAGCCGGGAGCCCUUCGGGGCGGGCAUACAGGUGCUGCAUGGCUGUCGUCAGCUCGUGCUGUGAAGUGUGAGAUUAAGUUCUUCAACGAGCGCAACCCCUGCCGGCUGUUGCCAACAGGCAAAGCUGGGGACUCGGCCGGGACCGCCGGUGACAAACCGGAGGAAGGCGGGGACGACGUCAAGUCAUCAUGGCCCUUACGUCCUGGGCCACACACGUGCUACAAUGGCCGGUACAGAGCGAAGCGAAGCCGCGAGGCAGAGCGGACCGCAGAAAGCCGGUCUCAGUACGGACUGGAGGCUGCAACUCGCCUCCACGAAGUUGGAAUCGCUAGUAAUCGCGCAUCAGCAUGGCGCGGUGAAUACGUUCCCGGGCCUUGUACACACCGCCCGU